RNAcentral lists this transfer RNA (67 nucleotides) under Marmota monax (woodchuck). Its description in RNAcentral is "tRNA.Pro". It matches the Rfam family "tRNA". Rfam says of the family: Transfer RNA (tRNA) molecules are approximately 80 nucleotides in length. Their secondary structure includes four short double-helical elements and three loops (D, anti-codon, and T loops). The record is from RNAcentral. Lineage: Eukaryota; Metazoa; Chordata; Mammalia; Rodentia; Sciuridae.
GGUUGUAGCUUAGUGGGAAAGCACUUGCCUAGGGCGUGUGAGGUACUGGGUUCGAUCCCCAGCACCA